UACGGAGGGUGCAAGCGUUAUCCGGAUUUACUGGGCGUAAAGGGCGCGUAGGCGGUCAGCACAAGUCAGUUGUGAAAUCUCCGGGCUUAACCCGGAAAGGUCAACUGAUACUGUGCGACUAGAGUGCGGAAGGGGCAACUGGAAUUCUCGGUGUAGCGGUGAAAUGCGCAGAUAUCAGGAGGAACACCGAUGGCGAAGGCAGGUCUCUGGGCCAUAACUGACGCUGAGAAGCGAAAGCAUGGGGAGCGAACAGG
RNAcentral lists this ribosomal RNA (254 nucleotides) under uncultured bacterium. RNAcentral describes it as "partial 16S ribosomal RNA". It matches the Rfam family "Bacterial small subunit ribosomal RNA", at positions 524 to 776 of the family's 1533-position model. The record is from RNAcentral.